RNAcentral lists this ribosomal RNA (389 nucleotides) under uncultured bacterium. RNAcentral describes it as "bacterial SSU rRNA". It matches the Rfam family "Bacterial small subunit ribosomal RNA", at positions 28 to 417 of the family's 1533-position model. The record is from RNAcentral.
GACGAACGCUGGCGGCGUGCUUAACACAUGCAAGUCGAGCGGUAAGGCCCUUUCGGGGUACGACGAGCGGCGAACGGGUGAGUAACACGUGGGUGACCUGCCCUCAGCUCUGGGAGUAAGCCUGGGAAACCGGGUCUAAUACUGGAUAUGACUCCAUGACGCAUGUUGGUGGGGUGGAAAGCCUUGUGCGGCUGAGGAUGGGCCCGCGGCCUAUCAGCUUGUUGGUGGGGUGAGGCCUACCAAGGCGACGACGGGUAGCCGGCCUGAGAGGGCGACCGGCCACACUGGGACUGAGACACGGCCCAGACUCCUACGGGAGGCAGCAGUGGGGAAUCUUGCGCAAUGGGCGAAAGCCUGACGCAGCGACGCCGCGUGAGGGAUGACGGCCU